CGAAACAAAUGACGGUACCGAAUGAAUAAGCCACGGCUAACUACGUGCCAGCAGCCGCGGUAAUACGUAGGUGGCAAGCGUUAUCCGGAUUUACUGGGUGUAAAGGGCGUGUAGGCGGGACUGCAAGUCAGAUGUGAAAACUAUGGGCUCAACCCAUAGCCUGCAUUUGAAACUGUAGUUCUUGAGUGCUGGAGAGGCAAUCGGAAUUCCGUGUGUAGCGGUGAAAUGCAUAGAUAUACGGAGGAACACCAGUGGCGAAGGCGGAUUGCUGGACAGUAACUGACGCUGAGGCGCGAAAGCGUGG
Molecule: ribosomal RNA, 304 nt
Filed under: uncultured bacterium
Lineage: Bacteria
Description: bacterial SSU rRNA
Rfam family: Bacterial small subunit ribosomal RNA
Source: RNAcentral